RNAcentral lists this signal recognition particle RNA (99 nucleotides) under Acidobacteriota bacterium. RNAcentral describes it as "Acidobacteria bacterium (sediment metagenome) signal recognition particle sRNA small type". It matches the Rfam family "Bacterial small signal recognition particle RNA". From Rfam's summary of the family: The signal recognition particle (SRP) is a universally conserved ribonucleoprotein involved in the co-translational targeting of proteins to membranes. Archaeal SRP consists of a 7S RNA and homologues of the eukaryotic SRP19 and SRP54 proteins. In most bacteria, the SRP consists of a 4.5S RNA and the Ffh protein (a homologue of the eukaryotic SRP54 protein). Lineage: Bacteria; Pseudomonadati; Acidobacteriota. The record is from RNAcentral.
CUUCGGGCUCUGUGCGACGGUGCCCCGCAAACCCCGCCAGGCCCGGAAGGGAGCAACGGUAGCGGGACCGCAUCGGGCGCCGCAGAGUACCCGAAGUUC